ACACAUGCAAGUCGAACGAGAGAUGAGGAGCUUGCUCUUCAAAUCGAGUGGCGAACGGGUGAGUAACGCGUGAGGAACCUGCCUCAAAGAGGGGGACAACAGUUGGAAACGACUGCUAAUACCGCAUAAGCCCACGGCUCGGCAUCGAGCAGAGGGAAAAGGAGCAAUCCGCUUUGAGAUGGCCUCGCGUCCGAUUAGCUAGUUGGUGAGGUAACGGCCCACCAAGGCGACGAUCGGUAGCCGGACUGAGAGGUUGAACGGCCACAUUGGGACUGAGACACGGCCCAGACUCCUACGGGAGGCAGCAGUGGGGAAUAUUGCACAAUGGGGGAAACCCUGAUGCAGCGACGCCGCGUGGAGGAAGAAGGUCUUCGGAUUGUAAACUCCUGUUGUUGAGGAAGAUAAUGACGGUACUCAACAAGGAAGUGACGGCUAACUACGUGCCAGCAGCCGCGGUAAAACGUAGGUCACAAGCGUUGUCCGGAAUUACUGGGUGUAAAGGGAGCGCAGGCGGGAGAACAAGUUGGAAGUGAAAUCCAUGGGCUCAACCCAUGAACUGCUUUCAAAACUGUUUUUCUUGAGUAGUGCAGAGGUAGGCGGAAUUCCCGGUGUAGCGGUGGAAUGCGUAGAUAUCGGGAGGAACACCAGUGGCGAAGGCGGCCUACUGGGCACCAACUGACGCUGAGGCUCGAAAGUGUGGGUAGCAAACAGGAUUAGAUACCCUGGUAGUCCACACCGUAAACGAUGAUUACUAGGUGUUGGAGGAUUGACCCCUUCAGUGCCGCAGUUAACACAAUAAGUAAUCCACCUGGGG
RNAcentral lists this ribosomal RNA (814 nucleotides) under uncultured bacterium. Its description in RNAcentral is "bacterial SSU rRNA". It matches the Rfam family "Bacterial small subunit ribosomal RNA", at positions 51 to 878 of the family's 1533-position model. The record is from RNAcentral.